UAUAGCUUCUCAUAAACCCUAAAUACAAUAUAACAACGAUUUUGAUCUCAACAUACACGCCCCCAUCGUGUGGGCUUGCCCGUAGACCCCUUGGCUGGAACUCGAGAGGAAAAUUUUCAAUGAGGACUUUGAAACCUCGAGACACCUUUGGGAAGAUCUCAUCAACCUCGUGUUCCCUAUGGAAUACUAGAUCUAAUUUAUUUUGUAAUUUUGAUGUAUCUUUUUAUAUAGUUUCAAAUUAGAAGGCUUUCUUCUAACCACUCCUUGCUUCUUCUUUUUUUUCACUCUUGCUAUGUACUUUCUCUUUUUAUCAAUACAUCUAUUUGGAUCAA
Long non-coding RNA from Cucumis melo (muskmelon), 332 nucleotides. RefSeq lists it as uncharacterized. The record is from RefSeq and is a predicted model, not a curated record. The transcript is spliced from 2 exons. NCBI's taxonomy places the organism in Eukaryota, Viridiplantae, Streptophyta, Magnoliopsida, Cucurbitales, Cucurbitaceae.